CCUACGGGAGGCAGCAGUGGGGAAUAUUGCACAAUGGGGUUAACCCUGAUGCAGCGAAGCCGCGUGGGGGAAGGAGUAUUUCGGUGUGUAAAGCCCUAUCAGCAAGGGAGAACAAUGACGGUACCUUACUAAGAAGCACCGUCUAAAUACGUGCCAGCAGCCGCGGUAAUACGUCUGGUGCAGGCGUUAUCCGGAUUUACUGGGUGUAAAGGGAGCGCAGGCGGCGCGUUAAGCGUGGUGGUAAAGCCGCGGGGCUCAACUCGGGACUGCAGUGGGAACUGGCGUGCUGGAGUGCCGGAGGGGUAGGCGGAAUGCCUAGUGUAGCGGUGAAAUGCGUAGAUAUUACGAAGAACACCAGUGGCGAAGGCGGCAUACUGGACGGUGACUGACGCUGAGGCACGAAAGCGUGGGGAGCAAACAGGAUUAGAUACCCGGGUAGUC
Molecule: ribosomal RNA, 441 nt
Filed under: uncultured bacterium
Lineage: Bacteria
Description: partial 16S ribosomal RNA
Rfam family: Bacterial small subunit ribosomal RNA
Source: RNAcentral